CUGGAAGUGAUGCAAACCAACAUCUGACUUACAGUGAAGGUGUUUGUAUUCAUACUGUCUGAUCCAG
Pleuronectes platessa (European plaice) is the source of this 67-nucleotide small nucleolar RNA. NCBI's taxonomy places the organism in Eukaryota, Metazoa, Chordata, Actinopteri, Pleuronectiformes, Pleuronectidae. The record is from RefSeq and is a predicted model, not a curated record.